RNAcentral lists this ribosomal RNA (253 nucleotides) under uncultured bacterium. RNAcentral describes it as "partial 16S ribosomal RNA". It matches the Rfam family "Bacterial small subunit ribosomal RNA", at positions 524 to 776 of the family's 1533-position model. The record is from RNAcentral.
UACGUAGGGGGCUAGCGUUGUCCGGAAUUACUGGGCGUAAAGCGUGCGCAGGCGGCUUUGCAAGACAGAUGUGAAAUCCCCGGGCUCAACCUGGGAACUGCAUUUGUGACUGCAAGGCUAGAGUACGGUAGAGGGGGAUGGAAUUCCGCGUGUAGCAGUGAAAUGCGUAGAUAUGCAGAGGAACACCGAUGGCGAAGGCAAUCCCCUGGACCUGUACUGACGCUCAUGCACGAAAGCGUGGGGAGCAAACAGG